This 495-nucleotide ribosomal RNA is filed under the name uncultured bacterium. RNAcentral describes it as "partial 16S ribosomal RNA". It matches the Rfam family "Bacterial small subunit ribosomal RNA", at positions 28 to 505 of the family's 1533-position model. The record is from RNAcentral.
GAUGAACGCUGGCGGCGUGCCUAAUACAUGCAAGUCGAGCGAACAGACGAGGAGCUUGCUCCUCUGACGUUAGCGGCGGACGGGUGAGUAACACGUGGAUAACCUACCUAUAAGACUGGGAUAACUUCGGGAAACCGGAGCUAAUACCGGAUAAUAUAUUGAACCGCAUGGUUCAAUAGUGAAAGACGGUUUUGCUGUCACUUAUAGAUGGAUCCGCGCCGCAUUAGCUAGUUGGUAAGGUAACGGCUUACCAAGGCGACGAUGCGUAGCCGACCUGAGAGGGUGAUCGGCCACACUGGAACUGAGACACGGUCCAGACUCCUACGGGAGGCAGCAGUAGGGAAUCUUCCGCAAUGGGCGAAAGCCUGACGGAGCAACGCCGCGUGAGUGAUGAAGGUCUUCGGAUCGUAAAACUCUGUUAUUAGGGAAGAACAAAUGUGUAAGUAACUAUGCACGUCUUGACGGUACCUAAUCAGAAAGCCACGGCUGACUACG